RNAcentral lists this ribosomal RNA (436 nucleotides) under uncultured bacterium. RNAcentral's name for it is "bacterial SSU rRNA". It matches the Rfam family "Bacterial small subunit ribosomal RNA", at positions 21 to 507 of the family's 1533-position model. The record is from RNAcentral.
GGCUCAGAUUGAACGCUGGCGGCAUGCCUAACACAUGCAAGUCGAAGCCCCGCAAGGGGAGUGGCAGACGGGUGAGUAACACGUGGGAACGUGCCCUUCGCUUCGGGAUAGCCUCGGGAAACUGGGAGUAAUACCGAAUACGCCGUAUUGGGAAAGAUAUAUCGGCGAAGGAUCGGCCCGCGUUGGAUUAGCUAGUUGGCGGUGUAAUGGACCACCAAGGCUACGAUCCAUAGCUGGUCUGAGAGGACGACCAGCCACACUGGGACUGAGACACGGCCCAGACUCCUACGGGAGGCAGCAGUGGGGAAUCUUGGACAAUGGGCGCAAGCCUGAUCCAGCCAUGCCGCGUGAGUGAAGAAGGCCUUAGGGUUGUAAAACUCUUUCGCCGGUGAAGAUAAUGACGGUAACCGGAGAAGAAGCCCCGGCUAACUUCGUG